RNAcentral lists this transfer RNA (94 nucleotides) under Streptomyces scabiei. RNAcentral describes it as "tRNA-Gly". Lineage: Bacteria; Bacillati; Actinomycetota; Actinomycetes; Kitasatosporales; Streptomycetaceae. The record is from RNAcentral.
CCGCCCGUGGCGGAGCCGCCGCCCGUGCCGCCCCCGCCGGCGGCCUUGACGUCGAGGGUGAGCGAGGGGCCGGGAUCGUUCCCCGGUGUGCAGG